RNAcentral lists this non-coding RNA (30 nucleotides) under Rattus norvegicus (Norway rat). The record is from RNAcentral. Lineage: Eukaryota; Metazoa; Chordata; Mammalia; Rodentia; Muridae.
UGUUCUAAUUGGUGCUGCUCUUGUAAGUGU